CAGACAAGCAGGGGCAGCAAGAUGGAGUCACACACACAGGUCUUCAUACUCCUGCUCCUCUGGAUGUCUGGUGCUGAGGGGAACAUUUUGAUGACCCAGUCUCCCGAAUUCAUGUCCACAUCUGUUGGAGACAGAAUCACUCUAAGUUGCAAGUCCAGUCAGAGUGUGAGUGGUUAUGUAGCUUGGUACCAGCAGAAACCUGGGCAGCCCCCUAAACUGCUAAUCUAUGGUGCAUCCACUCGCUCCUCUGGGGUCCCUGAACGCUUCACAGGCAGUGGAUAUGGGACAGAUUUCACUCUCAGCAUCAGCAGUGUGCAGGCUGAAGACCUGGCAGUUUAUUACUGUCAGCAGUAUAACAGCUAUACUCCCACAGUGCUUCAGCCUUCAACACAAACCUCCUUGAAAGUCUCACUAGCUGCCUGCACCACACACAGCCCUGGCUCUGCACACUUCCUCCUUCUGCCUGAGAUCUGUUAUGCAUGA
Molecule: non-coding RNA, 483 nt
Organism: Psammomys obesus (fat sand rat)
Lineage: Eukaryota; Metazoa; Chordata; Mammalia; Rodentia; Muridae
Source: the annotation of a RefSeq genome assembly